RNAcentral lists this long non-coding RNA (27445 nucleotides) under Triticum aestivum (bread wheat). RNAcentral's name for it is "long non-coding RNA (TAES_LNC023932)". The record is from RNAcentral. Lineage: Eukaryota; Viridiplantae; Streptophyta; Magnoliopsida; Poales; Poaceae.
UAUAACUAUCAAACAUGUACCAGAGGAAAGAAACAAGAUAAUAUGACAGGGACAAAUAUAUAUCACAACACAAACAUAUAUAUUUUCACAUGAACAUAGUUAACACAGGAACUACGGUAUAAACAUAACCACACAUAUGGGAACAAAGUACUACACCAAGGUUCAGGUUACACGAGUGACAACACAAACGAAAUUACACAAGCCACUAAACUAGUACUCGCAGAUCAACAGAAGCAGCAAGACAGAGAGGAGAGGCUGCAGGGGAUUAGACUCCCCUGUGACGGUGUCUUGUCAGGGGCGUGAGUAGAAGUAGUGAAGGGGUUCAGAGAAGAAGCAUGAGCAGCGGCAGAGGGAGUAAGUAGCAGGAGCGCAUAGAGAAGAAGCAGCAGCAUGUAGCAGAUGCGUUCAGCAGGGGCAGCAGGAAAGAUGUGGGAGAGAGAGAGAUCGCAGCAGGUGAAGAGGAGAGGAACAAUAGCAAGGGGCGAAGGGCGUAGAAGAAUUGCAGGUUGAAGAUGGGAGGAGCAGCAGAAGGUUGAGGUAGGCGAGGCGAAACAGCAGGGAGCAGCGGAGGUAAGGGAAGAAAGGUAGCAGAGAGAGAUGGAGAAGGAGUGGAGUCGCAGGGAGGACCAGACGCCCGUCUGAUCGGGCGCACGAGGUGCGGCGGUGGAGCGGUGGCGCUGGGCAAUGCAGGUGGUGCUGGUGGCGGUGUGAGGUGCGGCUGGUGGUGGAAGGUGCUGGUGGCGCGCCGCCACGCCGGCCUCGCCGCGGCGGCGACCGGAUGUGGAGAAGAGUGGUGAGAGGGAGAGAGAUGAGAUGCCAGGCCCAAAGGGGAUCGAGGCUGCUACUAGGGAUUUUGACCCCUCCUCUAGUCUGCCACUUUUCUGAUUUGGCCCUUCUCCUUUCCUUCUUUCUUCCCAAGUCGAUCCCCUCCAUCUUUAGUUUUGGCCCCUGGUUUCUUCUUUCCUUCAUGCUCAGGUCCCUUUGUUCACUUCUUCCCUGCCCUUCUCUCUUCUCAAUAUCCAAUUCGUCCGAAUCUUGAAGAUUAUAGUGCCUUUGCACACAUUUCUGCAAAAUAGACCAAAGACUAGUAAAUGACCCUUUAUAUGAUUUUCAUGCAAAUAUUCAAUAUUUCACAUCAAGAAUUGAUGGUCAUAUCUCAAUAAACCGCAUAUUUGAGUGCCAAAAGAUUUAUAUGAAAUGUGCUUAUCAAGUUCCCCCACACUUAAAUCAUUGCUUGUCCUCAAGCAAAGGAAUAUGACAAGAGUAGGAUAGUGAAUAGUGAGCUGACUAGAGAAUGUCCAAGUGAAGUAGAUCUCUAAACAAUGCAUGCUUUGGACUUAGCUAGUGAAAAUCAAUGGUUAAGAGUGCUACAGAGCAAUAGGACACUAGUAAACUCAAUCAUUUUAAACUUUUACAAAGAUAAAAGUGGAUCAACAAGUUCAAAUGCUGAUUGCGCCAAAGGGUUCCUAAAGAGAGCAUGAUCCCCAAAAAAGCUUAUUACCCGGAACAUAACAUUAUGGUUGAAGCACUUAUUGAAUGUGAAGGAAGUAAUGAUAAUAUUUUAUCGAUCUCACCAAAGGAACAUACCACCAAUCCCAAGAACAUGGUAUACACCUGGCUCGACCAAUUAUUAGUUUUUUUGUUUGUCUCCCCAAAGGAACGUACCACCGAUCAUGAGAACAUGGUAUACACCUGGUUCGACAAUUACAUUUUUAUUUAUUUAUUACUGUCCAAGCUACCAGAUUUCACAUGCCACCGAUCCAGGGAACAUGACAUGCUACUGUAGGUAGACUAGACUUAUUCAUUAUAAGAUAUACUUUUUUUACUUUUCAAAUUAACAAAAACAAGAAUCAUCACUCAGCCAUGUCUGGUUCACAUACUACCGAUCCAGGGAACAUAGCAUGCUAAUCCAUAGUGGUAAGUGAUUGCUCUGAAUGGGAACACAAUAGGCACAAACUCAGCAUCUAACACUUAAUGAUCUAAGUGUAGCAUGGUAAAAGCAGAAAAUGAUUAAGUUUACUAGUGCACUAGGGAUUUGAGCACUCAAAACUAAUAGCUUUCACUACUUUCAGCCAAGCAAGCAGUGUGUAGAUCACUAGUUUACAAGGCAUUCAACAAUUAGUUCGCAUAUUCUCAUCAAGCACCAUAUGUCAAAUAAAAUUCAGUGGGGCAACAUUUAAGAAAUGGCUUAAUAAGCAACCCAAAUAACAUUUGAUUUUAGCAUGUAUCAAUGGAUGAUAUACUCGGAAUGGGUCAUGAAACAGCUCACGGGCACUAUGAAGUAGCACUCGCUUGAUCACUAUCUAAGCUGCUGCUCUUCUCCUUUGCUUCCUCAUGGAUGCUCCAGCUUCACUCUUCUUCGUGUGUGCCCCCUUGCUUCUCCUCAUCCCCAUGCUCUGAGUCCACCAGGGUCCCAAGGAAUGUCACCUUGAACCUGGUCAGCAUGAAGGGAACGAUGCAGAAGCAAAAAACCUAAAAGAACACUCCACAAAGGAGACGAUGCAAGCGGUAGGGAUAAUACCCUCCAAGUCAUCAAUCGAGUAUCCAAUUACAUAAGCAUAGCUAUAAAGCACAUGUUUAGGAUGGUAGAAAUCAGCAAGGUCAACACUAACAUGAGGAUGAUAUUUAUCAUUAAGCUCAAAACUAGCAUGGGAAUGAUAUGUUUCAUUAAGCAAAGGACUAGCAUGAGGAGAAUAAGUGUCAUCAUCAUAAAUGAGAGCAAUACCACCAACCGUGUAUGUAUCAUCAUAUCCAAGCAAAUGAGUUUUCAAAUCAAUCUUAAGUGAUGAUAUCAUGUAAUGCAAGGAAGUAGCAAAGAAAUUAUACGGACGCAUGCCAUCAAGAGGAUUAGAUAAACAUGCUACAUCACGCUCCUGUAUGACGAUGGGAAAAUGUAUUUCUGGUUCUUCAUCUUCAAUCACAUCAACUUCUUUUGCUUCUUCAAGAGUAAUAGAUGAUGAGUCUUCAAUUGAUUGCUUGGGCUUUCGAGGUCUGGAUCCUCUUGUUCGUCUUGUUCCUUGUUUUCCAGUUCAUCUUCUUCAAUCUGAGGUAUCUCUUCCUCAAGUCUCUUACUAUCUUGCGCAGCUAGAUGUGACAGUGUUGGAACCUCAUAUGUUUGACUAGAGAUCUCAGCAGCACUCAGCUCAAGGAGGGAUGAGAUAGUACUGCCAGCGUCGAUGUUCUUCUCAAUCUUCCUUACUUCUUCCACUAGCUCAUUCCCACUCUUGAUCUUCUUCAUUUCAUCUAGUAUCACCGGCCUAAUUGGAUCAUCUUCAGCACUCAAAGUGAACUCGAGACUAAGCAAUGUGAGCUUGUCUAUAUCAUCAAAAUCAUCUUGUGUGGGCACUUGUGUUGAAGGUGUUGGUUGACCAAAUGGAGGACCAUUUAACUCCAUUGGCAACAUCUCCUGGUGUUGAGGUAUAUGAGUAGGAAGUGAAUAAAAUUGUUCUGGUGCAUAAUUGUUGCUCUCCUCAUUGUACCUAAUUCCCUGCAAUGGAUAACUAGAGGCAAACGAUGAGAUCUCAGGGCUGUUGUUCCUAUAUGACAUAUUCUGGUUUUCAGGCCACCCAUAUGAGUAAUUGUUUUGGUAUGAGCUAGGCUGUGGGGCGAAGCUCAUGCCAUAACAAUCGGGAGGGUGAGAGUAACCACGCUGACAUUCAGCGGGUGAAUGGCCCUGAAAUCCACAAAUAUGGCAUGUAGGAGCAACAUAAGGAUGACCUCUAGAAUAAGGAUCAUAAGAGCUAGCCCUAUCCUCAAAAACUACUUCUCGCUGCCGAGCUAAAUCAUCUAAUCGAUGGGAAAUCUUACUUAUCAGUUCUUGAAUACUUUCCAUGCUGUUUGUAGUGUUGCUCGUAUAAGCAUGAUGACCUGAGUUCAAUGCCAUUUCCAAGAAGAAAAUCCAACUUACAAAAAAAGAGAAAAUAACUAGAACAGUGGUUAGGGGUUAGUUAUAUAUCACAUAUAAAUGUCGCAAAAAGAAAACAAUAAAAACCUAGUCUAUAGCCUAAUACGGUCACUCGACGCUAGUCCACGGCAAUGGCGCCAAAAUGAUCGAUUGUAAGUACAGUGGGAUAUUUCGCCCGAACCGCAAGUGUCGUGUUCUCCACAGGGACUAGGCGACGACAACAAUGCUCGGCUAAAGCUAGGUGUUGGGGAUAUAACUAUUAGGUAUGACCCACCCAGGAGGGGCCGGGUUAUACCUAUGGCAAUUCAUGAAGCCCAAGACAGCUCUGGAAGAUGGCGGUUCAGUUAAGGGCCCAAGGUCCAAAGGCGACUCAAGGCCCGUAGAGAUAAACCGCCAUAUGUACGUAACUUGUAUUGUAAGGCAGGGAUAGUUAGAGACCGAGCCGGACACUGUUUAUGAGCCGUCCGGGACUCUGUGAGCCUCUGGACGUCGACCUCUGUAUAUAAAGGGACGACCCGGCGGCGGUUCAGGGGGGAAGUAACAUCAGAUCGAAAGCUAGGUCAAGCGGAUUCGCUCCCUAGUAAUCAAAACAUAAGCAAUACCAUUUCAAACUGGAUUAGGACUUUACCUUCACCGUAAGGGGUCGAACCAGUAUAAACCCUCGUGUCCUUUGUCCUGUUUUAACCCCUUUAAGCUUCCUAGUUGCGAUGGCUCCACGAUUAAGUCCUUUCACUAGGACAUCUGCCGUGACAAUUCCACGACAGUUGGCGCCCAUCGUGGGGCAUGCGCAUGGUGGAUUUGAGUUCUUGAAGGGCAGCUUCGAAGGGCUCAAGGGAUACGCUGUGGGCCGGAUGACCAAGAGUCGUCGCGGCAAGCUCUACAUCGACGACGCAGGCUGCGGCCCCGACGCCGGCUCAAUUGAGUACGGGUACCGGGUCCCCUUCGGCGGAAUCCAUGUCUUCAUCGGCCAGAUCGGCAAGCCGGUCCUGAGCCGGACAUCUACACCGACAUCGUCGAGACGGCUCAGCGUGCGAAACCCGCCCGAGCUCAGCCCGCCAUGAAGCGUGCCUUCAUGGGAUGCAUCCAUGGAGGGGAAUUUUUUGAAGGAUCUGUGUCUGGCGGUGAGACGGCCAUCUACUCUGAUGGUGAGUCAUCCACGGGCGAGACAAAUUCAUUGUAUCAACUGCAGGACGGUGGGCUUGGGGGCUGUUCCGAUGGCAGCAGUAUUCCGGACCCCUUUGAGCCGCCAAGCAGAGUGGGGAUCUUCAUGGCUGGCAUGCAACCCGGUCAAAACUCUACGGCUGCGGCAGCAAUAACCUCUGGGUCAGUGGCGGCCGUGGCAGGAGGCCCUGCGCGCCCGCUGGCUCAGGUGCUGAUGGAUCUCAUGGAUAGGAUGACAGCCCUGUUAACCGCCGUGGUUAAUCCGGCGGAUCAGGCUCAACAUGAGGCAGAAGUGGCACGGUUACAUGAGGAGGUAGCACAAGGCAAGGAAAACCUAGUAGCAGAGGAUGUUAGGAUGGCCACAGAGUGGGCGGCUUUGGAUGCUCGGGCGCAGCAGAUUCAAUCAGAGGCUUUCCAGCUUAUGAUGGAUCUGAACACAUCAAAUGAGGUCAUGAGGAGAAGGCACCAGAAGGCUAAUUCCCGUCUACCUCCGACUUAUGAUCCUAGAAACCUCUUCCGCACACCCGGUGCAGGCCCCAGUAACCCGCCGGAGGGAAACGGGGUUGCAACGUCCGGGGCUGGGACGCCGGUUCAACCACGGGUGAUGGAACCUCCUCGUAUGAAUACUUCUUCACCUCAUUAUGUACCAACACCACCGGGUCAUUAUUCUAACACUUUGGAGAACAUGGUCACUGCGGCGGCACGAUUGGCGGCUCUCCCGGUGGAGGGCGACUCUCUGACGGCGAUUGAAACACGAAGGGUUAGAGAACUUCAGACGGCUCUGGCGCAGCAGGAGGCAUAUUCGUAUAGUCAAGACAGGAUUCAUUCAACCCCUCGCCCAAGACGGAUCCCGAGUUAUAGCAGGCACAUAGAUUCAGCAGCCGUUUCAAGCAACGCCCAUCGUCGUGACCAGCCGUGCGGGCAUGACCCGGCGCGUUAUGGAGCUCCUAACUUGGUUUACCAGGACAGGAUACGCCAAGAGGCUGAGUGGGCGGUUCAGCAAGCGGCUAAGCGGGCGGCUCAGCGGGCGGCUUACCAGUCUUUUUUGGUUUAUCCGAUGACUUCUAUUGAGGCAGGCGUGACUACGAGGACUGGAGGUGUCCCUUGCCUGAUGCUGGCUCUGCGUAACGAGCGGGUGCCCAAGGAUUUCAAGGGGCCUCGAAAGGUGCCUAAUUACACGGCCGAUUUACAGCCCGGGGCAUGGAUUGAAAGUUAUGAGAUGGCCAUGGAACUACUGGAGGUCAGUGACGCUGCAAUGGCCAAGUACUUCACCAUAAUGUUGGAUGGGAUGGCCCGCACUUGGUUAAAGGGCCUGCCACCUAAUUCCAUUAGUUCAUGGGCAGAGUUAAAGGCCCGGUUUAUUCAGAACUUCAAAGACACAUGCAAGCAGCCCAUGUCAAUUGUGGAUUUGACUAAUUGCAAGCAAGAGGAAGGUGAGUCCACAACCCAUUGGGUGCGCCGGGUCAAAGCCAUAAUACAUUCAUCUGAUAAGAUGGAUGCCGGCUCUGCAGUCUUAAUGUUGGUGAAAAAUUACCGUUUUACGCCUCUGAAACAGAAGCUAGGGCGGCUCAAGCGCGAUUGUAAUGACAUGGGCCAGCUAAUGGCGGCUCUAGUCAAGUACGUUGAUUCUGAUAGUACCAAGGAUCCCAAGUCUGACAAUGAGAAGACAGGGAAGGGAAAGAAGAAUGACAAUGCCAAGGGUCAUCAGCAUAACCCGGCGAAUCAAGGAGGCAAUAAUAAACGUAAGGCUGACGGUAGCUCGAAGUUUGUGGCUAACACCAAUGUGCAGGGCAACAAUCAACGACGUAAGGGGAGACCACCUCCUCGGUCCGGCGGGUCAGGUCCCACUCUUGAGCAGUUGCUAAAUGAGCCAUGUCCAAGGCACGGUACUCAACAGAAACCGGCCACUCACCUAUGGAAGGAAUGUACAAUCAUGAAGGCUUUCAAGAACUCUAACAUGUUCAAUGACAAUCAUGGGCCGGGCGGCGGCGGUUUUCAUGGCUCGGGCGGCGGUUCAAAUUCCAACUUUCAAGGCUCUCAAGGAAAGCAAGGUGGCUAUAAUCAGCAAUCUGGCCAGGGAGGUCAGCAGCAGCAGCAGUGUGGAUAUCAGAGCAAUCCAAAACAACUGAAUAGUGGACAGUAUCAUGUGUUCACCACCAGUUUGUGCAAAAGGGACCACAAGCUUCAUAAGAGGGCUGUGAACGCUGUUGAGCCGACAGUUGCUCGUUAUUUGAGAUGGUCUGAGCAGCCUAUUCUAUGGAGUAGGGAAGAUCACCCUCCCCGGGUUGACAAUCCGGGUCACUUGGCCUUAGUGGUGUCACCUCAGGUUGGUGGAUAUAAAUUCACUAAGGUGCUCAUGGAUGGAGGUAGUAGCAUCAACAUCCUCUAUUAUGAGACUUUUCGUCGCAUGGGUUGACUGAUAAAAAUCUUAAGACAUCCAACACUAUUUUCCAUGGAGUGUUGCCUGGUAAGUCGGCGUACCCAGUGGGUAAGAUUGAACUAGAAGUAGCCUUUGGAGAUGAGCAUGAUUCUAGGGCUGAGAAGUUAACUUUUGAGGUGGUCAAAAUCAAAAGCCCAUAUCACGCCCUGUUUGGAUGGCCGGCUUAUGCCAAGUUCAUGGCACGGUCGUGUUAUGUUUAUCUGCAGCUCAAGAUGCCGGGUCAUAAGGGCACCAUCACAGUGCAUGGGAGUCGGAAGAUAGCCUUGGAAUGUGAGGAAGGCGAUGCUGCUUACGCUGAAUCUGUUUGUGCAACAGAGGAGUUGAAGUUCUACAAGGACAAUGUUGACCCGGCGGACAUGACGUCUUUGAAGAAGCCAACCACAGAACAUGAGCCGGCGCUGAAAUUUAAGUCGGCUGAUGACACCAAGCUUGUCAAUUUUGUUCCAGGUGACUCAUCUAAGCAGUUCAGUAUCAGUGCUAAUCUGGAUCCAAAAUAGGAAAGCGCUCUCAUCGAGUUCAUCCGUGAGAAUCGAGACAUCUUUGCAUGGAAACCUUCUGACAUGUCAGGUGUACCGAGAGAUCUUGCUGAGCACACUCUCAAUAUUGAUCCAAAGUUUAAGCCGGUCAAGCAGUUUCUUCAGCGGUUCAAUGAGGAGAGGCGUAAGGGCAUUGGUGAGGAAGUGGCCCGACUCUUGGCGGUCGGGUUCAUUAUUGAAGUUUUCCAUCCAGAGUGGUUGGCUAACCCGGUGCUCGUGCUUAAAAAGAAUGGCACCUGGCGUAUGUGUGUGGAUUACACGGACUUAAACAAGGCUUGUCCGGCUGAUCCUUUCGCGCUCCCUCGUAUUGAUCAAAUCAUUGAUGCUACGGCGGGUUGUGAGCGUUUGAGCUUUUUGGAUGCUUAUUCUGGUUAUCAUCAGAUCAAGAUGGCAGUUAAGGACCAGGAGAAGAUGGCUUUUAUUACUCCGUUUGGAGUCUUCUGCUAUGUGUCUAUGCCUUUUAGGCUUAAGAGUGCCCAGGCGACUUAUCAGCGAUGUGUGCAGAACUGUCUUCACAGUCAGAUUGGGCGCAAUGUUCAUGCUUAUGUGGACGACAUUGUGGUGAAGUCCAGAGAGAAGGAGACCUUGACAGAUGAUCUGAAGGAAACCUUUGAUAACCUCCGGGUCUACAAGAUGAUGCUUAACCCGGCCAAGUGUGUUUUUGGAGUGCCAGCGGGCAAGCUUUAGGGUUUUCUGGUUUCUAACAGAGGCAUCGAGGCUAACCCGGAGAAGAUCAAGGCAAUCACGUCUUUGGCUAAGCCGGCGUGUAUCAAUGAUGUUCAACGUUUGGCGGGUCGUAUUGCUGCCUUAAGCCGGUUCAUAAGCCGGUUAGGUGAGAAGGCCAUACCGUUGUAUCAGAUGAUGAAGAAGACAGACAACUUUGUCUGGAGUGAUGCUGCUAACGCUGCCUUUGAAGAUUUGAAGAGAUAGCUCGCUGAGCCGUCGGUCCUUGCUGCUCCCAUUGAUAAGGAGCCAUUAUUGUUAUAUGUGGCUGCUAACACACGUGCUGUCAGUGUGGCCAUUGUCGUAGAGCGCAAGUAGGAUGGCAAGGAAUAUCCAGUUCAAUGGCCGGUUUACUACGUCAGUGAGGUGCUUAUUGAGUCCAAGCAAAGAUAUCCACACUGGCAGAAGCUCGUUUAUGGGGUAUUCAUGGCGAGCUGGAAGCUUAAGCAAUAUUUUCAGGGUCAUCCCAUCACUGUGGUUAGUUUUGCUCCUUUAGGAGAUAUCAUUCAAAAUAGAGAAGCCACAGGACGAGUCGCCAAGUGGGCCAUUGAACUUGGGCCUCAUGGUUUAAAGUAUGUGCCACACACUGCUAUCAAGUCCAAGCAUUGGUGGACUUCAUCAACGAUUGGACAGAGCUGUAGAUGCCUGAAGAGAAGCCGGACAACACAUAUUGGACUAUUCACUUUGAUGGGUCCAGACAAUUGGAGGGCUCGGGGGCUGGAGUUGUUUUAGCUUCCCCUGGAGGUGACAAAUUUUGGUAUGUGCUACGGUUGAUGUUUCCCUGUACUAACAAUGUAGCUGAGUAUGAGGCCUUGCUCCAUGGUCUUCAGAUGGCUAAGGAGAUGAGCUUAAGCCGGGUAAGGUGCUUUGGCGACUCAGAUUUGGUGGCUCAACAAGUAUCAGACAAGUGGGAUUCCAAGGAUCCUCUUAUGGCGGCUUAUCGCCAUGAAGUUGAUGCCAUUACUGGACACUUCAAGGGUUACCAAGUGGAGCACAUUGAUCGCAGAAAGGAUGAGGCGGCUGAUGCUUUAAGCCGGCUGGGGUCUCAGCAUAAGCCGGUGCCACCUAACACUUUCUUAGAUAUUCUGCAUAACCCUUCUGUCAAGUUGCCUACAGAGGAAGACUUGGCUGUUCCAGACCCGGAAGCACAAUUGGUGGCGGCUCUUCACGUCAUCCCAGAUUGGACAGUGCCAUAUUUGGCUUAUAUGACCCGGGGCGAGUUGCCUGAGGAUGAAACCCUGGCUAGACAGAUAACCCGGCGGUCUAAGUCAAUGACAAUUGCCAAUGGUGAGUUGCAUCAUCGCAGUGUCACUUGGGCGUUUCAACGAUGUGUCUCUCCUGAGGAAGGUCAAGAAAUUCUUCAUGAAAUCCAUGAAGGAGAUUGUGUCCAUCAUGCCGGUUCAAAGUCUCUUGUGGCCAAAGCUUUCCGUCAUGGAUUUUAUUGGCUGACGGCUCACGCUGAUGCGGAGGAUCUAGUCAGUAAAUGUGAUGGUUGCCAGAAAUUCUCACGACGGGCUCACAUGCCGGCUCAAGAAUUGAGGAUGAUUCCAAUUACUUGGCCAUUUGCAGUCUAGGGGCUCGACAUGGUUGGGCCUUUCAAAAGGUCCAAAGAUAAAAAGACACACCUUCUGGUGGCGGUUGACAAAUUCACAAAGUGGGUUGAGGCAGAACCGGUUAUUAGUGUGACGCAGCCACAACGGUUCAAUUCAUGAAAAAGGUGAUCUUUCGUUUUGGCUUUCCACACAUCAUUAUAACUGACAAUGGUACUAAUCUGUCCAAGGGUGCCAUGGAGGAGUUCUGUCAACGUGAGCACAUCCGGCUUGAUGUUUCAUCAGUAGCUCACCCCCAAUCCAAUGGUCAAGCUGAAAGAGCCAAUCAGGAAAUCUUGAAAAGCAUCAAGGCCUGGAUUAUGGUUCCUUUACAACGGACGCCGGGUUGUUGGGUCGAGGAGUUACCCUCUGUGAUAUGGAGCAUCAAUACCACCCCUAACAGGUCUACGGGUUACACGGCUUUCUUCAUGGUUUACGGAGCCGAAGCGGUUCUCCCUAGUGACAUCCAUCAUGACUCGCCCCGCGUGGCAGCUUAUGUUGAGGCUGAUAAUGAACAAGCACGUCAGGAUGCAUUUGACCUGUUAGAUGAGAAGCGCGACUUGGCAGCAGCCCGCUCGGCGAUUUACCAGCAGGACUUGUGCCGUUAUCACAGCCGCCGGGUUAAGUCCAGAACCUUUCAAGAAGGUGAUUUGGUGCUCCGGCUCAUCCAGGAUCAAACUGACUCACACAAGUUAUCCCCACCUUGGGAAGGGCCCUUUGUGGUCAGCAUGAACUUGCACAACGGGUCAUACUACCUCAUCGAUGUUCGAGAGCACAAAGACUCACGUAAGUCGGAGGAAGAGAACCGUCGGCCGUGGAAUAUCGCUCAUCUUCGGCCUUAAUAUACUUGAGCCACCAGCGCUCAUAAUGUACAUAUUUUGACGAUGUAUAUAUUAUGAUAAGUAAUAAAAUAGGACCUCUGUCCUUUUCAUCCUCAAUGAUCAUAUGUCUUCAUCAUCAUAAUUUUAAAUGACCAAUUGGGGGCUGAUCGUACUCGAAUCCAGCUUAACCCUUUGGUCCGGCUCAUGAUCGCAUUCGAAUCUAGCCGUUAAACCUCAUGAUCACUAGGGGGCUUCCUGUUCAAACAUAGGCCAUAUUCGAACCAAAGAGAACAUAGCUGUCGGUAUCCUCUUGAUCGGCACAAUGCCAAACUCACUAGGGGGCUUCUUGAUCGUAUUCGAAUCAUAGCUUAACCCCUUUUGGGUCUGACUUUGAUCGUAUUAGAAUCAGAGUCGUUACAAAAAAACUCUCAAGGUCAUUCGGGGGCUUCCUAUUCAAACAUAGGUCGUAUUCGAACCAAAGAGAACAUAGCUGUCGGUACCCUCUUGAUCGGCGCAUCGCCAAAGCCACCGGGGGCUAGAUGAUCGUAUUCGAAUCCUAGCUUAACCCAUUUGGUCCGGUUUACUGAUCGUAUUCGAAUCAGAAGCCUCAAAUUUUUCUUUCUAUUUGGUUUAAGUUUUUUGAAAACAAUCUUUGUUUUUGUCUUGAGGCUUUUUAUCCAGAUCUAAGUAUAAGUAUGGUUUAAAUUUAACCCAGCUUGGUUUUGGAUGAUCAGUCGCCAGCGCAUGACAAUCAUCAUACAUGUGGAAGUGUUGGCUUCUAAAGGAUGGGGUUAUCACCCUUACUGUUCAGGUCACAUGAACCGGCAGUGCAAAUUCGAAAUCACAGGUAUGAUACUAUGGUUGUGGUUCAACGCUAUAAUUCAUAACAGGCUUAUCUGUGUCUCUUCUUUCAAUAUUAAUGGUUGUAUGUAAGAUGUUAUGACCCGCCCUGCGGUAAGCCGCCAAGGGUUCUUGUGAUCUAUUUCUGUGUGCAGGACAGUUCAAAGACUUUCUUAUGCAUAAAUAAAACAAAUGAUAAGUUUAAAAAGGGGAGAGUAUAAGGCGGCGGCUUAACAGUGUUGAGCACCAAAACGUGCAUGAUGGCACGACAAAGCAAAGUCAUUUCUACCCUAUUACAUGACUCGCCGAGUCCAAAUGAUUAAAUUGUUUUUCAGCAAGGUACAAAUAUGAGCUGCCCGGCGGUUCAGUCUUCUUGGCCUUGUUGCUUGGAGUCUUCUGCGUCAUCCUUUGCCGGCUCUUCGUCUUCUUCCGCUAGCUGAAAAGUUGGUGAUGACCAAUCGAUACCAGAUAAAGCUUCAUUCAGCUUCAUCAUCUAUAAGCUCAGACAGAUCGACUUCAGGAGCAAAGGUGUGCUUACGAAUUGGCGGGAUUAAGUCCAUCACUCUGUAAGCCGGAGUUGGCAUCUUCUUAUGGUCCCGGUCAUAAGCCGGUUGGUACUUGGAGAGGUCCGAGUCAUUCGCAAUCAUUGUGGCCAUUGGACGGAUUUCCUUUACACAGGCCGCGAAGUCUUUCUGAUUGAAAGGUGUACCAUAUUCUUUCAGACUUGGGUAACCAGUAGCUACCUCAGAUGGAUCAAGCUCUGGUACCCAUGCCUUGGCCCGACUCAAGGCUGUCACGACGCCGGCUCUUGCAGAUGAUCGCUUUAUUUCAUCAAAUCUAACAGGAGCACAUAAAGCUUCUUCAAAACAUCUAUGAACAUAGUUGGUGCUUGACCUGUUGGUGAGAUAGAGGCCAGUGCACGUUGAGUCCCGGUGCACAGCUGUUCAACAAGGGUAUAGAAAACUUUCAGCUUGACAAGCAUGUCUUGAUUGAGGUUGCUGCUCCUGGGACCUGAAUAGAUUGUAGUACGAUUAAGAUGGCGAGUUAUAUGAUCAAAGAUAAUGAUUCACUUCUGAUGCUUGAUAAAGGCGACUCACUGAAGAUGGUUGAAACCAUCUGAUUAACACGGCUUUUUAAAUCGGACAGUUCAGUGGUCGCUUCUUGAAGUGCUGCUUCUGCCUUCUCAGCACGUUGGGUCAAGGCCGUCUUCUCAUCUGCCCAGGAUUUUCUCUCUGCUUCAAAGCCGGUCUUCAAUUUUUCCGACUCAGCCAAGCUAAAUUGGAAUUUGGACUCAGCCUUCCGGGAUUCAGUUUCCUGAGUCGCCAGCUGGCUCUUGGCAUCAUUUAGUUGGGAUUCCAGUUCAGCAGUGGCAGACUGCACAAGGAGCAGAAUUGUCGAAUAUCAGAUUUAUUAGAUUGCAAGUCCCAAGUCUUUUGCCUGCAACAACACUUGACACUUGGGGGCUAAUGUCUAUCGAAGCUAAAUUUUCAAAAAAGCGGCUCUAAUAAAGUCCCAAGUACUUUGCAAGCAAAACUACUUGGCACUUGGGGGCUAAUGCAUACCGUUUGUUUUUUCUUUAUUAUGAGCCGGAAGUAAUGUAACUGUCCUAACCGAUUCAUAGGGGCAAUGCAGUCAAAAUCUUUCUUCUUAUACAAAGACAAACAAGGACCGGCUAAUUCCCAUGGAUUAAGCCGGCCCUUUGGGGCUACGGACGGAAAGUUAAAAUCCGCUUUACAUUUAAACCGGCCAAAGAGGGAUUCUAUGGCAGCAGUUGUGAAUUGUUUUUCAAGUCCACAACCUAUAUUAUCAUAAAUAGUAGACUUGGGGGCUGGCAGGAUAUGUAUACAAAUUACUUAAAGAUGGAAAUUCAUACCUCAUAUUUUUGGUGCAUCUGCUUCACCAUAUCAAUUUUGAGGCCGCGGCUGGAGUGGACCUGGAUGAGAUAGCCGGAGAGGAUCUCAUUGCUGUUUAGUUGGGAGUAUUGAGAAAUAUCAAACUUCUGUUUCCGCCUCUCAAUGACUUCUUGUUUGGCAGUAUGUUUGGCCAGAGCUAUCAGAUUUCCCGGCUCUACAAAGCUGGUGCCAGUAAUCAACACAUCAUCAUUUUGAGGCUCUGACGGCUUAGUUGAGUCGGAGGGGGCAGAAGUUGAAGGACUGAUGGCAGUGCCACCAACGCUAAGUUCCGGAAUCUCAGGAGGGGUGACAGUGACAGUGUCUUCCGGAUGCUUAUUGGAAGCCUCAGGGACAGGUAUUUGUUGUUCCGGCUCAGGGAUUUCCGGUGCUUCUAUUGGCUUGAUCACUUUAGCGUUUUUGUUUGGCUUUGCUUGACCACUACAGAGGUUAUGAAAAGUCAGUAUUAAUAUAAGUACAUAUGAAGGUACAGAGUAAAGCUAAUUGAUAUUACCCAGGGGCAGUCUUGAAAGCCGACAUUUCAGUUUAUGAUGAGCCGUCAGAAGAAGAACGAGCAAGUUCUUGGUCAAUGAUCAUUAAAAGAGUUAAGUAACAAAUAAGCAAGACCCGUUGACAGAUGAGAAGAAUUUUUCGAGUUUAAACACCUCGUUUCGGCGUUUCCGAGGGGCAGGGGUGUUCGGUAAGCCGGAUGAUAAUUCAUCACCUCCGCUGGUCCGGGUCUGGAGAUAGCUUUCAUGCUGUUGUCGUUUCAAAAGAAAGUGAGGAUCUAAAUAAGCCAAGGGGUGUGAAAACCUUACUUUCUGGGUUACUUGUCGAAGUUUCUGUCUUAGCAAAGAUUCUGAGCCGGAGGAAAUAAUAGUUACCUCUUCUUCAACUGCUUGGCUGGCUCCCGUCUCAGCCUGAUAAUAAGCAGUGUCAAUAAGAUGGUUGAAAAAUAAGCCAAGAGAGUCAAGGGCUACCUCCGACUCAGAGGUAUCAUCCAACUUAAGCAUGUCAGAGGCGCUUGGUUUCUUCUUCUUCUUGGUGGUCUUCUUGGCGGUUUUCCUAGCGGCCUUCUUGGCAGCUCUGGCCUUCUUAGCAGCCUCGUGGUCAUAUUCCGCCUUCCAGAAUUCCGACUUACCCUGUAGAGGUUGUCAACAGUUGAGUUAAUCAGAUAUUCGAAUAAUGAGGUGAAGAUACAGUAAAGUUCAGAGGCUUACAUCUGGAGCCGGGUUAAGCUUGCAGAAAGGGGCCAGACCCACUUUGACACAAUCCUCCGGGUCUUGAUUUAAAAGAGACUUCACCAUUUCAUUGAUUGCUUCUUCAGACAAUGGUUCGGAGCUAUGGCGCAGUGAAUCUGUUGUAUCACCACUAUAGGUGCCCAUUAAGCCGGUGCGACGGCUCAACGGGAUGAUCCGCCAAGAAACCCAGCACCUGACUAAAUCAACACCAGUCAGCCCGUUUCCUAGCAGAGCUUUGAUUUUCAUGAUGGUAUGUGCAAUCUUCUUCCGUUCAGCUGCAAAGAGCUUUUCAGGGAGAUUAUGUUUGGGGUCCAGGCGCUCAACACGAUAACCCAGUAGAGGAUUCUCAUCAGCCGGAGAAGUGUCUUUGCAGUAAAACCAUGUCUGAUUCCAGUCUUUAGGGUGACUCGGCAGCAUGGCGUAAGGAAAGAUGGCGUCUCUGCGAUGUUGAAUCGAGAUUCCGCCUAGUUCCAAGCUAGGGCCAUUGGUGAAUGCAGUCUGGCGGUUUAAGUAAAAAUACUCUCGAAAGAGUUCAACACUGGGCUCCUCUUUAAGAUACACCUCACAAAAGACUUGAAAGUUGCAAAUGUUUGACACGAAAUUGGGUUCGAUGUCUUGAGGGUGGUGCUGGAAGAAGUGCAGCACGUCUCGAAAAAACUUAGAGCUGGGCGGUGAGAAACCCCAGUUCAUGUGGUCAGUAAAGACAAUGACUUCGCCGUCUUUUGGUUGGGGUUUCUCUUCACCCGGGUUAGGAGCACGAUAAUGCAUCACGCUCUUGGUGGGUAAAUAUCCGAUUUUGAAAAAAAAAUCCUUGAGGGUGCUCUCGGUGACGAUGGAAGGGACCCAAUUGCAGGUGUACACUAUUUUAGGCGGCAUUGUGGAAGAAAACCUAAAGGAAAGAAAUAUUGCCGAUUCAAACUUAAGCCGGAGAGGAAAAUAUUACAGUGCAUAUUCAAGAUGGCGGCUUACAAAGGGGCCUAAUGGUAUAUGACUAAAUUAUGUCAGGUUAUGUAAACCGCCAUGAGCAGUGCAAAUUAUUUAAGCCGCCAUGAUAAGUUGGAUGAUGUCUGUUGAGCAUUUCAAUUUAAGUCGGCAAUUUGAGCCACCAUGGCUAGGUGGAUCUAACAAAUGCAGUUUUUGCCUAAGUGUUAUACAAAAAAGUUUCAUAGGCUGCAACUAUUAUUUCGGAUCAACGUUUGUUCAGGAAAAGAAAAAUAAAUCUAGACCUAAAAACCAGUACAGAUGAGUUCAUGAGCUUUCACAAGAUUUUUCUUCCAGGAAAGGGAAUCUACUGAUAUCAAAAGUGGGAAUAAAACAACUACCGCAUUGGUUGAACACCAUUUUUAGAUCAAAGAAGCUCGCGGUACAGCCUGGAAGAUGAACUACGAAGAACACAGAGAAACUCGCAAACCCGAAUGCGGAUCUGAGGUAUGGGAAGGCAGAAAUUUACAGCUGCAGAUCUACUGCGGAGGGUCGCCGCCGUUCUCUAGAUCGACUCAGGUUGAUGCAGCGGCCGAGGUUGAGGAAGACGAGGUGCUCUGCGGCGGCAGUGGAGCUCGAGCGGCAGAAGGGUUGCGAGAGGAAGAAGACGCUGGAAAGGGGGAGAAUGAGGAAAGACCGGUCGUGCCUAUUUAUAAGGAGACUCUUAAGUGGGAGCGAAAAACGAGGAGGCCAAAAAUAUGGUUAUCCAGCUACCAGGACGCCUCGAUUCUUGGGAUGGUCAUUAAGAUAAGGAUCCAUUGAGAUACGUUGGAUAAAGUGUGAAGUAAUGGCAGAUGACAUCAUGGCGGGUAAUCACAAAUCCAGAAGAUGACGUCAUGGCGGGUUACAAAUUCUCGCACAAUGAAGAGCAGAAAAUUUUAUGUAAGUGUUGAAGAUUGACAUGAACCAGCUCAAAUCAAUCUGGGGCCUAAUGUUGGGAAUAUAACUAUUAGGUAUGACCCGCCCAGGAGGGGCCGGGUUAUACCUAUGGCAAUUCAUGAAGCCCAAGACAGCUCUGGAAGAUGGCGGUUCAGUUAAGGACCCAAGGCCCAAAGGCGACUCAAGGCCCGUAGAGAUAAAUCGCCAUAUGUACAUAACUUGUAUUGUAAGGUAGGGAUAGUUAGAGACCGAGCCGGACACUGUUUAUGAGCCGGCCGGGACUCUGUGAGCCACUGGACGUCGACCUCUGUAUAUAAAGGGACGACCCGGCAGCGGUUCAGGGGAAGUAACAUCAGAUCGAAAGCUAGGUCAAGCGGAUUCGCUCCCUAGUAAUCGAAACAUAAGCAAUACCACCUCAAACUGGAUUAGGCCUUUACCUUCACCGCAAGGGGCCGAACCAGUAUAAACCCUCGUGUCCUUUAUCCCGUUUUAACCCCUUUAAGCUUCCUAGUUGCGAUGGCUCCACGAUUAAGUCCUUUCCCUAGGACAUCUGCCGUGACAAUUCCACGACACUAGGCGGCAGAAUUUUAAGAGAGGAUUGCAAGAAAAUAAUAACUUAAACUAGCCAGGGUUGAUGACAAAGAAAUCCUAAACAGCAAGGGGAAAUUCAGAUUUUACUCAUUGUCUUUUUGGUAUUUUCAUAAUGCUUGAGAAGUUAAAAUACUAAUACGAGCAUACAUCAAUGACAAGAGAAGUGAAAGGACAUGAACGUAACAUGACAAGGACACAUAUAUAACUAUCAAACAUGUACCAGAGGAAAGAAACAAGAUAAUAUGAAAGGGACAAAUAUAUAUCACAACACAAACAUAUAUAUUUUCACAUGAACAUAGUUAACACAAGAACUAUGGUAUAAACAUAACCACACAUAUGGGAACAAAGUACUACACCAAGGUUCAGGUUACACGAGUGACAACACAAACGAAAUUACACAAGCCACUAAACUAGUACUCGCAGAUCAACAGAAGCAGCAAGACAGAGAGGAAAGGCAUGCAGGGGAUCAGACUCCCCUGUGAUGGUGUCUUGUCAGGGGCGUGAGUAGGAGCAGUAGUGAAGGGGUUCAGAGAAGAAUCAAGAGAAGCGGCAGAGGGAGUAAGUAGCAGGAGCGCAUAGAGAAGAAGCAGCAUCCUAUAGCAGAGGCGUUCAGCAAGGGCAAUGUCGGUGUGAAAACCGGCGGAUCUCGGGUAGGGGGUCCCGAACUGUGCGUCUAAGGCGGAUGGUAAAAGGAGGCGGGGGACGCAAUGUUUACCCAGGUUCGGACCCUCUCGAUGGAGGUAAUACCCUACUUCCUGCUUGAUUGAUCUUGAUGAUAUGAGUAUUACAAGAGUUGAUCUACCACGAGAUUGUAGAGGCUAAACCCUAGAAGCUAGCCUAUGAUUAUGAUUGUUGUUGUCCUACGGACUAAACCCUCCGGUUUAUAUAGACACCGGAGGGGAUUAGGGUUACACAGAGUCGGUUACAAGGGAGGAGAUCUACAUAUCCGAAUUGCCAAGCUUGCCUUCCACGCAAAGGAGAGUCCCACCCGGACACGGGACGAAGUCUUCAAUCUUAUAUCUUCAUAGUCCAACAGUCCGGCCAAAGUGUAUAGUCCGGCUGUCCGAGGACCCCCUAAUCCAAGACUCCCUUAGUAGCCCGUGAACCAGGCUUCAAUGACGAUGAGUCCGGCGCGUAGAUUGUCUUCGGCAUUGCAAGGCGGGUUCCUCCUCCGAGUACUCCAUAGAAGAUUUUGAACACAAGGAUCGUGUCCGGCUCUGCAAAACAAAUUCCACAUACCAACGUAGAGACUACAAUAUUCCACGAAUACAAUCCGCUGACAAUUUUUCCUAACGUGACACCAUGCCAUGAACCAGUCUUUAUUCGCACCGUUCUCCCUAACCAGCUACUGCUCAUGUCGCGAGGCGGUUUUAUGGGCAUGUCGUAUCGAAGCAGAGAUCGUGCCCCCCUAUCUCGGGAUUCUCAUCAAUACGGGUAUGGGUAAUCCAACCACGUCUUUAGCGCAACGCUUGGGGAAUAAGCGAGUUUACCAGGCAAGUGGGGAGGCGCUGGAUCCCUGCCGCCUUUAUAAGGAGAUAAGAACUCCCCUUUUUCACCCAUGCCUUCUCCUUCUGUUUAACCAUUCCCCUUUGCUCGAGCCCCAGCGCCCAAGCAUUCGUCCUCUCUGACCAUGAAGGACUUCCGAAAAUGUCUGGAUCUGGAGCAGGAGGCAAAUGGAUGGCCUCAACCGUCCGGGAGAAGGAUAUCAAAAAGCUUCAGGAGGCCGGGUACCUGGCCCAGAAAAUCAGCGACCGUCUCCCGACGGUAGGACAGAUCGUCCCUACUCCGGAACCCCACGAGAGGGUUGUUUUCCUCCCUCAUUUUGUCCGUGGGCUGGGGUUUCCCCUCCACCCAUUCAUUCACGGCAUCAUGUAUUACUAUGGGAUCGAUUUUCAUGAUCUAUCCCCCAAUUCCUUCCUCAACAUCUUGACGUUCAUCGUCGUGUGCGAGGCCUUUCUCCGCAUCUCGCCACACUUCGGCUUAUGGCUGAAGAUCUUUAAUGUGAAGCCCAAGGUAGUGGGCGGUGAGCACGCCGAGUGCGGAGGCGCCAUUGUGAGCAAGAUGCCCAACGUCACAUGGCCAAUAGGUACUUUCAAUGAUUUCGUCAAAGAGUGGCAGCAGCAGUGGUUUUACAUCCCAGAGCCGUGCGGCACGAAAUGGGCCACUGCUCCUGAAUUCUGAUCCGGAGCCCCCCUGCGGCUUACGUCCUGGCCCAAGAAGGGCCUGGAUUGGUCUUCAUCCGACGAGCUGUCGGUACUUCAGACGCGCGUCAAGAAUAUGGAAGACAAGGAUAUCAAACUUGUCAAUGUAGUCCAGGUGAUGUUAGCUCGCCGGACCCUUCCUUGUCAACACCGGGCUUGCAAUUUAUGGGAUUUUGACCCGGCCAAGCACCAGACCCUGCGGGAGCUCUUUGGCUCCUCACAUAAAGAUAUCUCGAAGGUGCUUUUUAAGUCCGGCAAAUCAUGGCCGGACUCAGCCGAGGACCGCGGGUACCAACUGUCCCGCCCCGCAAGUUCGGUAAGCCAUUAUAAGUUUUAUUCGCAUAACCCAAGGGAAACGCUUAAUGUGUUUUCCUCAACUCUCCUAGGGCUGGACGAAGAAGGCGGGGCGGAUCUACUGUCCGGCCCCGCUACCUGAAGAACCGGCCGGCCCGCUUCUAACGAAGAUGCUGGUCCCGGCGCCCUAGAAGGCGCUGAAGAAGAAGGCCGAGAGAGGGGCUGAGAAGACCAGGGGCGGCCUCCGUCGUCGUGGUGCCUCGGACACGAUAUCCAAAGAUUCCAAUGCCCGUUCUUCCUCCGAAGAGGAUGAUGAUGAGGAGGAAGACAAAUCCCCAACAGGGGGAAGAAAGAAAAGGACAGCCUCCGCAUUGUUGGAGGCCGAGUCGCCUAAGAAGGGAAAAACUCUUCUUCCAGUGGUGUCCACCAUCGCUGAUAGCAGCCCGGAGUGGGAUCCCAGGGCUCAGCCCCUGGUGAACUCGUGAGUAUAUAAAAUCUGAACACGUUUAUGUGUCCGGACUUAUCAUGGCACAAUAUUUUGAUCUGGGCCAUACUUUUUGCAGUCCGGCGAGGUCCCGCGCGGAGCAAUCCUCGUCGGAGGAUUUGCUAAGCUCGGACGCUAUGGAGAGCGGGACACCCCCGAAGGUCCCUUCCCCCAAACAUGUGAAUGACACCAAGGCUUUGUCCCUGGAGGACCCAGGCCAAGGAGGUGGGGGAAAUAUUGCCAAGGUGGCGCCAGGAGGUCAAACUUCAGGGGCCGGACACAUGGGAGGGAAGGCUCCCAUGGGCGUCUUCGGCCGGAGCCAUCUUAAAUUCGGCCCCCAGCCGGAUGCAAUUCCGGAGACCAAUAUGGUUCCAGAGUCAGGCAGGCAGUCUCCCUCGGCUAGAGGGGGUGUACCUGUUCCACCGGCAACCUCUGUCCAACCAGAGGUGCUGGAUACUCUAUUGGCGGCGCUGAAAAGCGCCUCCGUCGUUGAUGAACACCGUGCCCCUGUGGGUGCGGUGAUUGAGAAGAUUCAAUCUGCGGAGAGUGGGCUGAAUGAAGCCUGUAUUAGCCUUAUAAGAGGCCUUUUGAGGUAUGUUUUAUGAAGUUUCAAAGAGUGUCACAAUAUAGAUAGUAGCCCCCGAUACACUGUUUGGUGAGAGAAAGAACCGGACAGAGGAUCAAUUCUAUGUUCGCGGGACACUCACUUGGUGACAUUUACCUCUCUUUUGGUAUAAACAGGCGUCUGUAGCGACUGCCACCUCUCGUACUGCGGAGGUCUCCGGACUAAAUCGAAGUCUGGAGUGGGCCAUAGAAGAAUUUGGCCAGUUGAAAAGGCAGUUGGAGGAUAAACAAGGUAUGCACAAACCUUGCUCACGUUCAGUGCGAACGAAUUUUUUUUGAAAUAUGUUUUGUGAUUUGCGCCAGGGGCGAUGACCGAAGUCGAGGCUCUGAAGAAGGCUGUUGCUGAGGCCGAGGGAACGGCAGCCGCAGAGCAGGCUCUUCGUGAGAAGCACGAGGCCAGGGUUAUUGAAGUUGAGCAAGAGCUUCAAGAGGUCGUGAGAAGAUGCGAGGCCUUGGAGCAGAGUCUAAUGGAGAAAGAAUCCGAACUUACCAAGGCUCAUCAGGCUGCAUGCGAUGCCCAGGGGGAAACCCAGGGUGCCCUGCAGGAGAUCUAAGAGGCGAGGAAGAUCACGGCGGGUAAGGCUUGUUCCACGUAAGGAAAGUAUUUGGGGAGAAAAUCAUGUUUCUAAUCUUGAGUUCGGAUUUCUCCAGGGGUGUUUGCGGAGCUGCCACACAGCAUAUCUGAUGCCGGACAAUUCUACCGAGCCGAAGAAAGGAACUCUGCGGAUAAGCUCUUCUGGUCACAGUAUUUGGCACCGAAUUAUCCGGUGCCUUUUGCCGACCGACUGAAACAGCUGAUCGAACUGUACAAGGCGGCCGAGCUAGCCAUGAAGGAUUUGAUUAUCCGGCUAUGGCCCGCUGAGCCGAUUCCAGGCAGCUACUUCGGGCUUGUGAAACAGCUUGCGAGUGCCUGCCCUCGACUGGACGUCAUCAAGCGGUCGGUAUGUAUAGAGGGUAUGCGAAUGGCCUUCGCCCGCGCAAAGGUGCACUGGGGGAAGAUGGAUGCUGAAAAGCUGGUGACCGAGGGACCGCCGGAGGGAAAGGAGCACCUCACGCCUGAAUUAUAUUAUGAAAGUGUCCUGAAAGGAUACUGCCUUGCGGCGGAGCAAUGCACCAAGGACAUUAUAUUUCCAUGAAUACAAUCAUGUUGUCCUUUGUAAUGUUGAACAAGGUCAUUUCUAUUAUUUAUUGCCUGUUAUAUAAAAGUUUAUCCUCCUCCACGGCAGUUUUAUAUAUUAAUCCUGAGAGUUGGCCAGUCGUCGGCUUCUGCCCCCAUGUAGGAAGUACGGGGGUGUUCGGGAUAAACCUGAUCACUCUUUAUCCCAGUUUUGGGUCCUUCGAAGGAGUUGUUCAGCACAACGAACCAGGCAGUCGGACUAUAGGGCUUUAUCACUCUCACUUAGCCAUAGGAGCUUUAGAAAAGGAAGGUAGGCGCAGCCCCUGGUGUUCGGAAGACUGCACGAGGGGCUCUAUAAGCGCCUGGUCAGAAGAAAAGCCGAUCCAUCGCAUGCUGCAUUGGUUAUGGCAUUAUGCGGGAGGAAUCCUUAAAGAUUUUACAACCUCUCGAACAGCUGACCAACUCUCGCCGUAUCAUGACAGUCAGUUUUCGGCUUUCUCUACUGAGGUGCUCGUCCGAAAGAACCGGGACACAAUCACAGUAGUUCUCCCUAUGCCGCCUUAGCCGAUAUAGCAGAAUGUAAGGCAGCAAAACAUGCGAGCCGGGCAAACCCAACAUUUGACCCAAGACAUGAUUCAGAGCUGAUGCAUAUAAUGUUAUAAGUUCGGGGUGCCGAACUUCCAUGAAGGUGUUCGGACUUUAUUGCCGUAUUAUGGGUAAAACGAAGCCCCUGGCAUAUUUAAGGCAUAUCACGGUGUACGGAUGCCAUUUUACAAAAGAAUUUCAAUCAGAGAUAAUGGCAGAUAAGCGUCAUGUAAAUCCACAUGUCGUAUUUAAAUAAUACGUUGAUGCGUAUGAGUACAUGUAAAGUAAAAAAGAGAAAGUGACUGCGGUACAUACUGAGACCAGGCGGGAAGAAGCUGUGUGAGGAUCCGAAGUGCAAUCGGAUGGUCAUCGAGGGGAAUAUCUAAGAGUUCCCUUGCAUGUUCGAGCUGUUUCUAUGUCGCCGGUCCUUGCCUGGGCAAAAAUGAACCUAUACAGAAAAUGCAAGAUGUGUUUGUGUGCCGCAGAGCGGUUGAGCCGCGGUAUGUGGCCUGUCCUGGCCUUCGCCGAAGUGUUUAAUUGAGCUCUGGACGAGCCGGGCUAUCCUGCCGCAAAGUAGUUCGGAGUCCUUUAGCGGUGUCCGGGAGCUUGGCCGUCGACUCAAGGUUUGAUUGAAAGGUGCCACUCGUUGCUUCUGCUGUUAAAGCAGCGGGAUACUCUUUGGUACCGAAGGGGAGUUCGGCCUUGCCAUUAAUCGUGAUGACGCCGCGUGGACCGGGCAUCUUGAGCUUACGGUAGGCAUAAUGUGGCACCACGUUGAAUCAAGCGAAUGCGGUUCGUCCGAGCAGUGCCUGAUAAUCACUGUGAAAGGGGACGAUGUCAAAGAUUAACUCUUCGGGACGGUAAUUGUCUGGUGAUCCGAAGACUACCUCAAGGGCGAUGGAGCCUGUACAGCUGGCCUCCACACCUGGUAUAAUACCUCUAAAGGUGGCUUUAGUGGGCUUGAUCACCUAAUGAUCGAUGCCCAUCUUGCGCAUUGUGUCCUGGUAAAGCAGGUUUAGACUGCUGCCUCCGUCCAUAAGGACUCGUGUGAGGUGGAACCCGUCAAUUAUUGGGUCGAGGACUAGUGCGGCUGAAUUGCCCUGAUUGGUGUUAACCGGACGAUCCAUGCGGUUGAAGGUGAUCGACCCCAGUUUAUAUUGUGGGAUGACUGGUUCCGUUAAGUCGACAUCCCUAAGGGUGCACAUCCGGUCCGGGUUGGGAGUGUGGGUGGAGUUUACCACGUUCACCGUUUGGAUUUGCGGGGGAAAUUUCUUUUGCCCUCCUGUAUUCGGUGAUCUGGGCUCCUCGUCGCCAUCAUCGCUUUGAGACCCCUUAUCUUUGUUUUUGGCACCUGACCUGCCGACUUGUUUGAAGACCCAGCAUUCUCUGUUGGUAUGAUUGGCUGGUGUUCCUGGGGUGCCAUGAAUUUUGCAUGGACGGUCGAGUAUGCGGUCCAGACUGGACGGACCCGAAUUGUCAUUUUUGAAUGGCCCUUUCCGCUGACUGGACUUAGAGCCACUAAAUCCGGCAUUGACUGCCGUAUCUUCGGCGUUUUCACCAUUUUUGCGGCGCUUGUGUUUGUUGCGUCGGGGUUUGCCGUUGUUAUCUCUGGCCUUUGAUGUGCCAGGGUUGCUUGCUGUGUUGUUGCUACGGGCCAACCAUCUAUCCUCGCCCACGCAAAAGCGGGUCAUGAGUGUCGUGAGGGCUGCCAUGGAUUUUGGCUUCUCUUGGCCGAGAUGUCGGGCGAGCCACUCGUCACGGAUGUUAUGUUUAAAGGCCGCUAGGGCUUCGGCAUCUGGACAGUCGACAAUUUGGUUCUUUUUAGUUAUGAACCGAGUCCAGAAUUUCCUGGCUGACUCUCCGGGUUAUUGUGUUAUGUGACUUAAAUCAUCAGCAUCCGGUGGUCGCACAUAAGUGCCCUGGAAGUUGUCCAGGAAUGCGUCUGCCAGGUUCUCCUAACUCCCGAUGGAGUUUGCCGGCAAGCUAUUCAGCCAAUGCCGAGCCGGCCCUUUGAGUUUUAGUGGGAGAUACUUGAUGGCGUGUAGAUCAUCCCCGCGGGCCAUGUGAAUGUGGAGGAAGAAAUCCUCUAUCCAUACCGCGGGGUCUGUAGUACCAUCAUAUGAUUCAAUGUUCACGGGUUUAAACCCUCCUAGGAAUUCAUGAUCCAUUACUUCAUCAGUGAAGCAUAGGGGGUGUGCGGCGCCUCUGUGCCGGGCUAUAUCACGACGCAGUUCAUACGAGUCUUGUCUGCUGUAUUCGGCCCGACCGGAUUUGCUUUUAGUAUAUCCGGCGUGACGGUCGUCGUCACGCGUUGGGGCGCGCCCUCGUGAUCCGUAGAUCGAUCUUGUAUGUCCUGCUUUGUUUUCCAAUACGUCUCGCAGGUCCUGUGUGUUGCCCCGGGCCUUGGUGUUUUUGUUUGUCUGGCGACGGGGUGCGGGCUGGACGUCGGGCUGAUAUGCCGUUCGGCCACAAGGUGGCCGGUCAGCCGCAUCAUACACUGGUAGUGUAGGCUUUAAUGCUUCCUCCUCGAGUUGGGGUAGCAACCUGCGCUUUGGGUAACUUUUGGUUGGCACUCGAGUUCGUAUUCCUCGGCUGCCAGGACCUCAGUCCGUCUAUCCGCUAGCAGAUCUUGGUCAGCUUGAAGCUGUUGUUGCUUUUUCUUCAGGCUUUUUGUUGUUGCUAUAAGCCGGCGCUUGAAGCGCUCCUGCUCGACGGGAUCCUCAGGCGCGAUAAAUUCUUCGUCGCCGAGGCUCACCUCAUCUUCGGAGAGGGGCAUGUAAUUGUCAUCCUCUGAUUCUCCGUCAGCUGCCUGUUCCUUAGGGCUAGCUUGCCCAUCCUCCCGCUCGAAGCCUAGCUGGAGGGGAUUGUCUUCGUCUUCGGCACUAUCCGCAGCGUUAUUGUCUCUUGUGCCGGUAUCGCUGCUUUUUCUAUGGCGGGGCCUAGAGCGGCGCCGAUGACGCCGGUGCUUAGAUUGUUUAUCGAGGGGAUUAUCCUCCGUUGCCUUAUUGCCAUCGCUUUCUUUGGGGGUGUCCACCAUGUAUAUAUCAUAUGAUGAGGUGGCAGUCCAGCGCCCUGUGGGCGGUGGUUCCUGUUCUUCUCCUGCAUCAUCGUCCAUACCGUCGAUGUCUUCGGAGCCGAAAUCAAGCAUGUCGGUUAAGUCGUCGACAGUGGCUAUUAAGUGGGUGGUGGGUGGGGAACGAAUUUCUUCGUCGCCCGCUUCCCACUCAAGCCGGACAUAGUUUGACCAAGGGCCUCCUGACAAGGAUAGGGACCUUAAUGAAUUUCGCAAGUCGCCCAGGGGCGAGUGCUGAAAGAUAUCCGUGGAGGUAAACUCCAUGAUCGGUGCCCAAUCAGAUUCGAUAGGCACGGACGCAGGCGGUUCGGAGCCCGUGGCCGGGGACGAAUCCAAGGGUCCGGCAACACAAGUCUCAUAGGAGGUGAAGUCAGUAUUCGGCUCUAUCGCCGCUGAGUGUGCGGCCUCCGUGGCGGGGUCCAUCCACCCGUCCUCGGACGGCACGAUCUGCUCUGGAUUGAGGGCCGGAGUAGCCACACGUGUGAUCUCCCGAACACCGUCCGACGGCAGAGCUAAGUCAUGCUCGUCGUGACUGUGCAGCGCACCUGACAUGGGCUCAAAUCCGUCGAAGAUCAAGUCUCCGCGGAUGUCAGCAGUAUAGUUUAAGCUUCCAAACCUGACCUGACGGCCAGGGGCGUAGCUCUCGAUCUGCUCCAGAUGGCCAAGCGAGUUGGCCCGCAGUACGAGGCCGCCGAAUGCGAAGAUCUGUCCAGGGAGAAAAACCUCACCCUGGAUUGCAUCGUUGCCGAUGAUCGACAGAGCCAUCAAGCCUUUAUGAUGAUGGCACAGUGGAACUCUCAAUGAAAGCACCAAUGUCGGUGUCAAAACCGGCGGAUCUCGGGUAGGGGGUCCCAAACUGUGCGUCUAAGGCGGAUGGUAACAAGAGGCGGGGGACACAAUGUUUACCCAGGUUCAGGCCCUCUCGAUGGAGGUAAUACCCUACUUCCUACUUGAUUGAUCUUGAUGAUAUGAGUAUUACAAGAGUUGAUCUACCAUGAGAUCGUAGAGGCUAAACCCUAGAAGCUAGCCUAUGAUUAUGAUUGUUUUUGUCCUACGGACUAUACCCUCCGGUUUAUAUAGACACCGGAGGGGACUAGGGUUACACAGAGUCGGUUACAAGGGAGGAGAUCUACAUAUCCAAAUUGCCAAGCUUGCCUUCCACGCAAAGGAGAGUCCCACCCGGACACGGGACGAAGUCUUCAAUCUUGUAUCUUCAUAGUCCAAUAGUCCGGCCAAAGUGUAUAGUCCGGCUGUCCGAGGACCCCAUAAUCCAGGACUCCCUCAGGCAACAACAAAGAUGUGGGAGAGAGAGAUCGUAGUAGGUGAAGAGGAGAGGAACAGCAGCAAGGGGCGAAGGGCGUAGAAGAAUUGCAGGUUGAAAAUGGGAGGAGCAGCAGAAGGUUGAGGUAGGCAAGGCAAAACAGCAGGGAGCAGCGGAGGUAAGGGAAGAAAGGCAGCAGAGAGAGAUGGAG